UUCACUAUAGUUUAAUUGUCGUGAAUUUGACUCAUCCAGGAAAAUUUAAAUAAUGCAAUAAUUGAUAAGCUUGUCUGUACUAGUAUGUCUGUCUUUAUAUUAAAAAAAGUGUGUAGAGUUGAAGUUUGAACCAAAACAGUCUAACUACAAAAAAACAAUUUACCUACUUCAUGAAGGAAAGUGAAAAUGCUAUUUUUCAAAUCAGUUUAAAUUUGAUAAACGUAAUGUUUUUUUUUUGGAUCAAUAGCAAGAUAUGCAUUUGUUCUAAGUUUCGUAAUUUACAAAUUUUGAAAAUUAUACAAAGAAGGAGGAAAUCGCCGGACUUCCGCCCUCCACAGGGGACGGCGCGCGGAGCAUGUCGGAGUCGAACCGACUAAAACCUCCUGUCGCUCAACAACAAACGUUCAAACCUCACAUGAGACAGAACUCAUGAAAAGGCAAAGGGGGAAAGUGAAGUGAUGCUAUGAAGUAACAAAAUUAUUAUAUUAACAUUCACCGGCUAAACUUAAUUUUACGAGUAACUAUGCGUGUAGAAAUUAAAAGCUACUUAUAAAAAUCACA
Bombyx mori (domestic silkworm) is the source of this 561-nucleotide long non-coding RNA. RefSeq lists it as uncharacterized. The record is from RefSeq and is a predicted model, not a curated record. The transcript has 2 exons. Lineage: Eukaryota; Metazoa; Arthropoda; Insecta; Lepidoptera; Bombycidae.